UUUACCUUAAAAGAGAAAGUUGAUCAAAUUGGAAUGAUACAGAAAAGCAGAGCCCUUGCAUAAGGAUGAAAUGCAGAUUCAUGAAGUGUUCCAUAUUUUU
This 100-nucleotide small nuclear RNA is filed under the name Zalophus californianus (California sea lion). Lineage: Eukaryota; Metazoa; Chordata; Mammalia; Carnivora; Otariidae. The record is from RNAcentral.